RNAcentral lists this ribosomal RNA (347 nucleotides) under uncultured eukaryote. RNAcentral's name for it is "SSU rRNA". It matches the Rfam family "Eukaryotic small subunit ribosomal RNA", at positions 594 to 945 of the family's 1831-position model. The record is from RNAcentral.
AUAGCGUAUAUUAAAGUUGUUGCAGUUAAAGCGUCCGUAGUUGAACUUCAGACCUGGCUGGGCGGUCUGCCUCGCGGUAUGUACUGUCCGGCUGGGCCUUACCUCUUGGUGAGCCGGCGUGCCCUUUAUUGGUGUGCGUCGGGGAACCAGGACUUUUACCUUGAGAAAAUUAGAGUGUUCAAAGCAGGCCUAUGCCUGAAUACAUUAGCAUGGAAUAAUAAAAUAGGACGUGCGGUUCUAUUUUGUUGGUUUCUAGAGUCGCCGUAAUGAUUAAUAGGGAUAGUUGGGGGCAUUAGUAUUGAGUUGCUAGAGGUGAAAUUCUUGGAUUUACUCAAGACUAACUACUG